UAUGAAGAAGGCCUUAGGGUUGUAAAGUACUUUCAACAAGAAAGAAAUAAUAAAAUUUAAUAAAUUUUAUUACUGACGUUACUUGUAAAAGAAGCACCGGCUAACUCCGUGCCAGCAGCCGCGGUAAUACGGAGGGUGCGAGCGUUAAUCGGAAUUACUGGGCGUAAAGAGCACGUAGGCGGUAUAUUAAGUCAGAUGUGAAAUCCCUGAGCUUAACUUAGGAAUUGCAUUUGAAACUGAUAUACUUGAGUUUCAUAGAGGGGGGUAGAAUUCCAGGUGUAGCGGUGAAAUGCGUAGAUAUCUGGAGGAAUACCAGUGGCGAAGGCGGCCCCCUGGAUGAAUACUGACGCUGAGGUGCGAAAGCAUGGGUAGCAAACAGGAUUAGAUACCCUGGUAGUCCAUGCUGUAAACGAUGUCGACUUGGAGGUUGUAAGCUUGACUUGUAACUUUCGUAGCUAACGCGUUAAGUCGACCGCCUGGGGAGUACGACCGCAAGGUUAAAACUCAAAUGAAUUGACGGGGGCCCGCACAAGCGGUGGAGCAUGUGGUUUAAUUCGAUGCAACGCGAAAAACCUUACCUGGUCUUGACAUCCAUGGAAUUUAGUAGAGAUACUUUAGUGCCUUCGGGAACCAUGAGACAGGUGCUGCAUGGCUGUCGUCAGCUCGUGUUGUGAAAUGUUGGGUUAAGUCCCGCAACGAGCGCAACCCUUGUCCUUUGUUGCCAACGGUUCGGCCGGGAACUCAAAGGAAACYGCCGGUGAUAAACCGGAGGAAGGUGGGGACGACGUCAAGUCAUCAUGGCCCUUACGACCAGGGCUACACACGUGCUACAAUGGUAUAUACAAAGGGAAGCAUCCUCGCGAGAGUAAGCGGAUCUCACAAAAUAUAUCGUAGUUCGGAUUGGAGUCUGCAACUCGACUCCAUGAAGUCGGAAUCGCUAGUAAUCGUAGAUCAGAACGCUACGGUGAAUACGUUCCCGGGCCUUGUACACACCGCCCGUCACACCAUGGAAGUGAGUUGUAAAAGAAGUAAGUUGCUUAACCUUUAUGGAGGGCGCUUACCACUUUGUGAUUCAUAACUGGGGUGAAGUCGUAACAAGGUAAC
This 1104-nucleotide ribosomal RNA is filed under the name bacterium endosymbiont of Plateumaris sericea. RNAcentral describes it as "bacterial SSU rRNA". It matches the Rfam family "Bacterial small subunit ribosomal RNA", at positions 404 to 1500 of the family's 1533-position model. The record is from RNAcentral.